Molecule: transfer RNA, 79 nt
Filed under: Alistipes sp.
Lineage: Bacteria; Pseudomonadati; Bacteroidota; Bacteroidia; Bacteroidales; Rikenellaceae
Description: tRNA-His
Rfam family: tRNA
About the family: Transfer RNA (tRNA) molecules are approximately 80 nucleotides in length. Their secondary structure includes four short double-helical elements and three loops (D, anti-codon, and T loops). Further hydrogen bonds mediate the characteristic L-shaped molecular structure. tRNAs have two regions of fundamental functional importance: the anti-codon, which is responsible for specific mRNA codon recognition, and the 3' end, to which the tRNAs corresponding amino acid is attached (by aminoacyl-tRNA synthetases). tRNAs cope with the degeneracy of the genetic code in two manners: having more than one tRNA (with a specific anti-codon) for a particular amino acid; and 'wobble' base-pairing, i.e. permitting non-standard base-pairing at the 3rd anti-codon position.
Source: RNAcentral
GGUGGAUGUAGCUCAGUCGGUUAGAGCGUCGGAUUGUGGUUCCGAAGGUCGAGGGUUCGAGCCCCUUCUUCCACCCCCA